UGGGGAAUAUUGCACAAUGGGCGAAAGCCUGAUGCAGCAACGCCGCGUGAGUGAUGAAGGUCUUCGGAUUGUAAAGCUCUGUCUUUUGGGACGAUAAUGACGGUACCAAAGGAGGAAGCCACGGCUAACUACGUGCCAGCAGCCGCGGUAAUACGUAGGUGGCGAGCGUUGUCCGGAUUUACUGGGCGUAAAGGGUGCGUAGGCGGAUGUUUAAGUGAGAUGUGAAAUACCCGGGCUUAACUUGGGUGCUGCAUUUCAAACUGGAUAUCUAGAGUGCAGGAGAGGAGAAUGGAAUUCCUAGUGUAGCGGUGAAAUGCGUAGAGAUUAGGAAGAACACCAGUGGCGAAGGCGAUUCUCUGGACUGUAACUGACGCUGAGGCACGAAAGCGUGGGUAGCAAACAGGAUUAGAUACCCUGGUAGUCCACGCCGUAAAACGAUGAGUACUAGGUGUAGGAGGUAUCGACCCCUUCUGUGCCGCAGUAAAACACAUUAAGUACUCCGCCUGGGAAGUACGAUCGCAAGAUUAAAAACUCUAAGUGAAUUGACGGGGGUCA
Molecule: ribosomal RNA, 555 nt
Filed under: uncultured bacterium
Lineage: Bacteria
Description: partial 16S ribosomal RNA
Rfam family: Bacterial small subunit ribosomal RNA
Source: RNAcentral